Molecule: ribosomal RNA, 506 nt
Filed under: uncultured bacterium
Lineage: Bacteria
Description: partial 16S ribosomal RNA
Rfam family: Bacterial small subunit ribosomal RNA
Source: RNAcentral
AGUGAACGCUGGCGGUAGGCCUAACACAUGCAAGUCGAACGGCAGCACAGGAGAGCUUGCUCUCUGGGUGGCGAGUGGCGGACGGGUGAGGAAUACAUCGGAAUCUACUCUGUCGUGGGGGAUAACGUAGGGAAACUUACGCUAAUACCGCAUAUGACCUACGGGUGAAAGCAGGGGACCUUCGGGCCUUGCGCGAUUGAAUGAGCCGAUGUCGGAUUAGCUAGUUGGCGGGGUAAAGGCCCACCAAGGCGGCGAUCCGUAGCUGGUCUGAGAGGAUGAUCAGCCACACUGGAACUGAGGCACGGUCCAGACUCCUACGGGAGGCAGCAGUGGGGAAUAUUGGACAAUGGGCGCAAGCCUGAUCCAGCCAUACCGCGUGGGUGAAGAAGGCCUUCGGGUUGUAAAGCCCUUUUGUUGGGAAAGAAAUCCAGCUGGCUAAUACCCGGUUGGGAUGACGGUACCCAAAGAAUAAGCACCGGCUAACUUCGUGCCAGCAGCCGCCGUAA